This 227-nucleotide ribosomal RNA is filed under the name uncultured bacterium. Its description in RNAcentral is "partial 16S ribosomal RNA". It matches the Rfam family "Bacterial small subunit ribosomal RNA", at positions 109 to 334 of the family's 1533-position model. The record is from RNAcentral.
AGUAACGCGUGAGGAACCUGCCUCAAAGAGGGGGACAACAGUUGGAGACGACUGCUAAUACCGCAUAAGCCCACGGCUCGGCAUCGAGCAGAGGGAAAAGGAGUGAUCCGCUUUGAGAUGGCCUCGCGUCCGAUUAGCUAGUUGGUGAGGUAACGGCCCACCAAGGCAACGAUCGGUAGCCGGACUGAGAGGUUGAACGGCCACAUUGGGACUGAGACACGGCCCAG